This 200-nucleotide ribosomal RNA is filed under the name uncultured prokaryote. Its description in RNAcentral is "partial 16S ribosomal RNA". It matches the Rfam family "Bacterial small subunit ribosomal RNA", at positions 1184 to 1382 of the family's 1533-position model. The record is from RNAcentral.
GUCAAGUCAUCAUGGCCCUUAUGUCCAGGGCUACACACGUGCUACAAUGGGCGGUACAACGCGACGCGAGCCCGCGAGGGUUGAGCGAAACCAGGAAAGCCGCCCGUAGUUCGGAUUGAAGUCUGAAACCCGACUUCAUGAAGGUGGAAUCGCUAGUAAUCGCGCAUCAGCAUGGCGCGGUGAAUACGUUCCCGGGCCUU